GAAAUGCGAUACUUGGUGUGAAUUGCAGAAUCCCGUGAACCAUCGAGUCUUUGAACGCAAGUUGCGCCCGAAGCCAUUAGGCCGAGGGCACGCCUGCCUGGGUGUCACACAUCGUUUCCCCAACGCAAACAUGGUUGAAAUCUGGGUUCAUGGCCGACUUCGCCGUGAUAAAAUGGUGGAUGAGCCACGCUCGAGACCAAUCACGUGCGAGCCGGUCAGUUCUGGACCCAUCGACGACCCUUUGCGUGCACGCACGCUCCCAACGAGACCUCAGGUCAGGCGGGGCUACCCGCUGAGUUUAA
RNAcentral lists this unclassified non-coding RNA (302 nucleotides) under uncultured fungus. RNAcentral's name for it is "sequence contains ITS1". The stretch from base 1 to 107 matches the Rfam family "5.8S ribosomal RNA", at positions 50 to 154 of the family's 154-position model. The record is from RNAcentral. Lineage: Eukaryota; Fungi.